AGUGAACGCUGGCGGUAGGCCUAACACAUGCAAGUCGAACGGCAGCACAGUAAGAGCUUGCUCUUACGGGUGGCGAGUGGUGGACGGGUGAGGAAUACAUCGGAAUCUACUUUUUCGUGGGGGAUAACGUAGGGAAACUUACGCUAAUACCGCAUACGACCUACGGGUGAAAGCAGGGGAUCUUCGGACCUUGCGCGAUUGAAUGAGCCGAUGUCGGAUUAGCUAGUUGGCGGGGUAAAGGCCCACCAGGGCGACGAUCCGUAGCUGGUCUGAGAGGAUGAUCAGCCACACUGGAACUGAGACACGGUCCAGACUCCUACGGGAGGCAGCAGUGGGGAAUAUUGGACAAUGGGCGCAAGCCUGAUCCAGCCAUACCGCGUGGGUGAAGAAGGCCUUCGGGUUGUAAAGCCCUUUUGUUGGGAAAGAAAAGCAGCAGGUUAAUACCCCGCUGUUCUGACGGUACCCAAAGAAUAAGCACCGGCUAACUUCGUG
This 492-nucleotide ribosomal RNA is filed under the name uncultured bacterium. Its description in RNAcentral is "partial 16S ribosomal RNA". It matches the Rfam family "Bacterial small subunit ribosomal RNA", at positions 29 to 507 of the family's 1533-position model. The record is from RNAcentral.